UCUGAAGUGAAGGUUAUGCUGUGGAGGGCAUAUGAAGUGGGUAAAAUGGUAUGUAAACAUUAUUAAAGGGACCAGUGUUCGAUGACUAUAUACAUAGGGCAGCAAUACGUAUCUAAGGUGCAGGUAGAGUACCAGGUGUUAGCCAGCUAGUAACAAUGACUAAGGUGCAGGGUACUGGGUGGAGGUGACUAUUUAACAGUCUGAUGGCCUGGAGAUAGAAGCUAUUUUUCAGUCUCUGGGCCCCAGCUUUGAUGUACCUUUACUGUCUACGCCUUCUGGAUGGCAGCGGGGUGAACAGGCCGUGGCUCGGGUGGCUGAGGUCCUUGAUGAUCUUCUUGGCCUUCCUGUGAUACCGGGUGCUGUAGAUGUCCUGGAUGGCAGGUAGUGUGCCCCCGGUGAUGCGUUGGGCUGAUCGCACCACCCUCUGAAGGGCCCUGCAAUUACGGACGGUGCAAUUGCCAUACCAGGUGGUAAUACAGCCUGACAGGAUGUUAUCAAUGGUGGGUCUGUAGAAGUUUAUGAGGGUCUUAGGGACCAAGCCUAAUUUCUUCAGCCUCCUGAGGUUGACGAGGUGCUGUUGCGCCUUCAUCACAGUGUCUGUGAAUGGACCAUUUCAGGUUGUCAGUGAUGUGCCUCUCCACUGCGGCACCAUUGAUGUGGAUAUGGGCGUGCUCUCUCUGUUGUCUCCAGAAGUCCAUGAUCAGCUCCUUCAUUUUGUUUUGUUGACAUUGAGGGAGAGGUUAUUUUUCUGGCACCAGUACGCCAGGGCCCUCACCUUCUCCCUGUAGGCCGUCUCAUCAGUGUUGGUGAAGCAAGUGGGACAACAGAUGGGCACGUCGGCCACAGAGAACGGGAACUCACAGUUCUUGUGUUUUCCUCGAAGUGGGCAAAGAAGGUGUUUAGCUUGUCCGGGAGUGAGGUGUCGGUGUCUGCGACGUGGCUGGCUUUCCCUUUAUAACCCGUGAUUGUCUGGAGUCCCUCCCACAUACAUCUCAUGUCUAAGCUGUUGAAUUGCAACUCCACUUUCUCCAUGUAACGUCGUUUUGCAUCUUUGAUAACCUUACGGAGGGCAUAGCUGGUCUGUUUGUACCCGUCCAUGUUCCCAGUCACCUUGCCGUGGUGAAAUGUGGUUUAACCACCAUCUAUCCACGUUUUUUGGUUUGGAUAAGUUCUAAUCGUCAUAGUGGGAACAACAUGCACUUCAUGGUGAACUCACCAAGUCAGUGUAUACAGUUUUACUAUUCUCAGAGGCAACCCGGAACAUUUCCCAGUCCGCGUGAUUAAAAUAAUAUUGAAGCAUAGAUUCCAAUUGGUCAGACCAAUGUUGAACCUUUGUUACCACGGGUGGUUCCCAUUUAAGUUUCUGUCUAUAGGAGGGGAAGAGCAAAAUUGAGGUGUGAUCUGAUUUGCCGAAGGGAGAGAGGGGGAAUAGCAAUGUUCAAGAGUACUCGAUUAAGCGAGUAGUACAGAAGAUGUGUUGAUAGAACUUCGGUAGUGUUUUCUUCAGAUUUCCUCUAUUAAAGGCCACAGCUACAAUAAAUGUGGCCUCGGGAAAUGCGGUUUCCAGUUUGCAAAAAGAGCUGUCGCAGGGUCUGCUUGGGGGAAUAUACAUGGCCGGGAGGUAAUGAAGUCGGUAUUUGAAGGUGAGGUAUUCAGAUUGGGAGAAGAAAAGUACUUGAGUUCCUAGCAAGAGAGAGAGAGUGGGGCUUAUUAAGGUUGAGAAGUAUGGCCCUCUUUCUGCUAGUCAGAAGCUCUCUCUCUCUUUUCUCAUCCCCCCCUCCCUCUCUCCCUUUUUCUAUUUAUUCACUAGGGAUGGGAAAUGCCAGGGACCUCACGGUACGAUAUCAUGAUACUUAAGUGCGGAUUCGAUAUGUAUUGUGAUUCCAUAUGCAUAGUGAUUUUAUACUAUAUGUAUCACGAUUCUGUAUGUAUUGCGAUUCGAUACUGUGAUUUUUUUUUACGAUUCAAUGUGACGUUGUCUGCUCCAGAGGGACAAGAAAGAGCCAUGACAAAACAAGUUUUAAUCAGUCAUGGAAACUAAAGUGCUAAAAACAUGUUGGAUCACCAUUUUAAAAGAACAUUGAGACCAAGCUAUAAAUCGUAAAAAUAAUACCGCAUGGAUCUCCAACCCUGCUUCUGGAGAGCUGCCGUCCUGUAGGUUUUCACCUCAAACCUAAUUUAGCGCACCUGAUUCUAAUAAUUUGCUGGUUGAUACGCUGUAUAAGGUUAGUUACAACUGGGGUUGAAGCGAAAGCCUACAGGAGGGUAGCUCUGCAGGAACAGGGUUGGACAGCCCUGCUCUACUAUAUCGAUCCCCCCCCCCCCCCCAUCCUUACUAUUCACCCGGUUUAACAGUGUUCCUCUCUUUCCUCUCAUUCCCCCACCUUUCUCUUUCUUACCUCGCCUCCAACACUGUCACUCUGUACUCUCUUUCUUCACAACCUUAUUUUUCAUAUCUCUGCCCAUUGAAGAUCCCUUUCGCUCCCAUCUUCCUCUCUCCUCUUUUCUCUUCUUCUCCCUGACUUCGUCAUUGCUAAUGUGUGUCCCUCCGUAUUUCCAGUGUUCACUGUCAAAGCAAUCAGAGCAACAAGUAAUAGGUUGGGAGGGGGCUAGGAGGCACACGAUAGGUUGUCCAGGAGCUAGAGGGUUUGUUAUUGGUUAGGCAGGACCUAUGACACUGCUGUGAGGUAGUCAACUAUCCUGUAGCAAACCAUUUUGCAACAGAAAACGUUUUGAAAUGAAAAUGUGAGUUUCUUAUUGAACAAAUUCAGGUAGAACCUCCCCGUUUUGGUCUAUUUUCUUCUGUUUGGUUUUUACUGAAUACGACCCAGGUGGAUGAGAUGAGCCACCCUCCUUUAGAAUAGAAAGCUUUUUGAGCUCUUUGAAAAGCGGCAUAAAAAUUCCUAUCCAAUAUCAUUAUUGUCGUCAUCAUGUGUUAGUGUGAAAUACUGAUCCUGAUUGAGCACACGAUGUGUUUGUCCCACCUGAUCUGAGGUCAGCCCUGCUGUAUAGUGGUACAAUGGAUGUGUUGUCUUCUCCUAGAGCGCCAAUCUACAGCAUUUCAUAUGGGCACUGAUGUCUCUGGUGUCUUUUAGGUUCUACAAGGAGUAUACAUGAAGCUUUGUUUGUCAUGGAUGUGGACUUUCCUUGUCUUUGCGCUAUAACGAGAUGCACAUUCAUGGUUGACAUUUUAGCAGUGUAAAAAACACAGCGCUAUUGUCAAUUGUCAAAAAAACACCCGCCUCACAGAUACUAUGUGCGGCAUUGCCAACUGCAUGAUGAAUAAUCACCACAAACAUUGCAGAAGAAAGUUUUUUUUAAAUGUAUUCAUUAAAAAUGUCAAAGUCACACUAACUUGAUCGUUGUUUGGCGUUCACAAAAUGGUACCCUUUGUACCAACCACAAUAUCUAUGUUUUUUCAUUUUGUUGUUGGUCUUAAUUUGCACUGGGUGUCUUGUUUCUGAUAGAAAGCUUUGUGAACCACCUCACAAUCCCAAUCACACCAGGCCUGGCCUCUUGUACAAAUUUAAAUAUAAACUGUGAAAGGAAUACACAAUGAAAUGUGGAAACUUGGAAAGUGAAUAUUUGUAAAAAAAUAAAAAUAAAUAAUGUAUAUAUAUAUAUAUAUAAUGAUAAAACAAUUGCCAUUGAAAACCCUGGGGCAAUACUUAAGAAGAUAAGCAACCAUUUAAAAUGAAACAGUUUCUCCGGCACAAAAAUGGAAGUCGUCAAUUUACUUGCACGUGACAGAUCGCUAAAUUGUAGCUGGUCCCAUCAUAAAACGGCACACAUUAGCCCUAUGCUAACCUCACCAGAUGGCAGUGAUUAUACCCUGGAACAAGUUCUGCAUCAGCCAAUUAAAAUCGUUGACUUUAUUGCAAAUGUUCCAAACAGUUCAACAGCAUAAUUAAAGCAACAAUCACAUGUAUUUGAGUGACUGGUCAAACUGCUCUCUGUGUAAAGUGCCUAGUCCUUGAAAUGUAGAUUUACAUAUAUUGUGUUAGUGUUGAAAAGGGAUGUAGUCAUCUGCGUGAAAAGGAAGAUUAAGAACUACUUUAAUAAAGAGCUACCUCUUUUAGCCUUGCAUGCAAACACAUUGGCCAUGUCCGAAUACCCAUACUUGCGUCCUAAAUAGUAGGCCGUUUGAAUAUUCGAGUAAUUAAGUUUAAUAAUUCAUCAUUUGAAUUUAUUUUAAAUGCACAGAUGUCAUACUCACUACGGCUUUGACAAGAGCUGAUCAAUUAGAUUUGGGGAUGCGCUACCGAAAUCAACAAAUAAUGGGAAACAACACAAAUGCGCAUGACGGAUUCUCAGUAUGCAGAAAUAAAACGUUUAAUAUGAGACAUUUCCAAAUUUGAGUAUGGUUUAAAUGCCAGGAUGUUAUACUCAUUUUGGCUCUUCUUCUACUGUAGUAGAAUUCGACAAUACAUUGGAAAAGGUGGGUGAUCGGCUGUAGUUCUCUUCAAGUACCAAAACUAGGCUAUUUAAUUUGGACACUGCCCAAAGCCUCUGAGGUAGUGUUCAAAUGUAGGCUAAGUAGUUUUUGCUCUACUUAAAAUGAUAAUGAGUAUGGCAUCGUAGGCUACAUCUUCGGAAACAGGGGCUUUCUGUUUUCUCACUGUAAAGUUUUAUUGUCUUCUUGGCCUUCGUCAGAGCUUUUAAACAACAUACAAAACCAUCUUUUGAUUUCUGAAUGUGUCAGCACCGGGGGCUCGGGAUGUAGCGGCGUUAUUGAUGUCACGUUAAUCAGGCCUUUUGUUUUAGAUUUGAAGGCUACACUACCUAUUUAAUGAAUGGAUCAAGCCUUAGCAGUCAUUCUGAUCUCAUUCCCAAUUAUCAGCGCUUUAAGUUAUUAUGUUGCUGUCCAGCGGUUCUAAAUUUGCGAAGCACCCGACUGUCCACAUUUUCUGAGCAAUAGCUUUUUGAUUUUUAACAUUUGAAAAGUUUUGGUGUGUAUAAUAGGCUAUUUGAUUUAAUUUAUAUAUGUUACAGCACUUUGGUUUCACUAAUAAAUAUGUUGAAAUGGAACCAAAUGAUCUGUUUCUGUCUUCAGUCAUUUUUAAAUAGGAUAGAUGGGCUAUAUGGUCUACUACGCUAUAAAUCAAGUGUGAUAGUUUGUUUAUAACCAGCCUGAGUAGGCCUAUAAUUCCAUUCCUAAUCUAUUCAGAUUUUAGAGAAAUUAUUCAAAUUGGAAAUCAACUAUUAUCAGGCUGGUUAACUUCUUCUGGCUGCAGCCCGGUGUCGGUACACUUAACAGCCAGCUCAAGUGCAGGGCGCGAAAUUCAAAAGAUAUUUUUCAGAAAUAUUUAACUUUCACACAUUAACAAGUCCAAUACAGCAAAUGAAAGGUACACAUCUUGUGAAUCCAGCCAACAUGUCUGAUUUUUUUUAUGUUUUACAGCGAAAACAGCACGUAUAUUUAUGUUAGCUCACCACCAAAUACAAAAAAGCACUAACAUUUUUCACAGCACAGGUAGCAUGCACAAAACCAACCAAACUAACCAAGAACCAACCAAACUAAAAAACAAACAACUUCAUCAGAUGACAGUCUUAUAACAUGUUAUUCAAUAAAUAUAUGUUUUGUUCGAAGAAUGUGCAUAUUUCAGGUAUAAAUCAUAGUUUACAUUGCAACUACAAUCAGAAAUUGCACCGAAAGCAGCCAGAAUAAUUACAGACACCAACGUCAAAUACCUAAAUACUCAUCAUAAAACAUUUCAGAAAAAUACAUAGUGUACAGCAAAUGAAAGACAAGCAUCUUGUGAAUCCAGCCAAUAUUUCCGAUUUCUUAAGUGUUUUACAGCGAAAACACAAUAUAGCGUUAUAUUAACUUACCACAAUAGCCAGAAACACAAGCCAUUUACCCGCAGCAAAGGUUAGCGAUCGUAACAAACCAGCAAAAGAUAUAUAAUUUUUGACUAACCUUGAUAAGCUUCAUCAGAUGACAGUCCUAUAACAUCAGGUUAUACAAUACACUUCUUUUUUGUUCGAAAAUGUGCAUAUUUAGAGCUGAAAUCAGUGGUUAUACAUUGUGCUAACGUAGCAUCUUUUUCCCAGAAUGUGCGAAUAUUUUUAUGACACUCAACUAUUCUGACCAAAUAACUAUACAUAAACGUUACUAAAAAAUACAUGUUGUAUAGGAAAUGAUAGAUACAUUAGUUCUUAAUGAAAUCGCAGUGUUAGAAUUCUAAAAAUAACUUCAUUACCACAUCCAGCUUACGUUAUAACGAGAAAGAGCCCAAAUCUGGGCGCAAAAUAAUGGUCAACAUAUUCCGACAGAUAUAUGAAAUAUCAUCAUAAAAUGGGUCCUACUUUUAUUGAGAAUCAGAAUCAGAAUGUUGUACAAGGGUGUCCUUUGUCCAGAACAAUCGUUGUUUGGUUUUAGAACGGCCUUCUUCCCUCUCGAAUUAGCAAGCUAAGUAGCCAAGUGGCGCGUAGCUCUCCAUCUUCACCAUACCCAGAGAACGCAACACGCCUAACGUCCCGAAAAAAUUUCAAUAAUCUAAUAAAACGAUAUUGAAAAAACAUACUUUACGAUGAUAUUGUCACAUGUAUCAAAUAAAAUCAAAGCCGGAGAUAUUAGUCGUCUAUAACGACAGCUUAUCAGAAGGCAAUACCAGGUCCCUUCUCGAGCUCUCCAGAAAACAGGAAACUGGUGACACGUCAUACAAAGAGCUUUUAUUCGACCCCAGAUCAAGUUAUACACUCCAUUUCUUCUCUCACUGCCUGUCGACAUCUAGUGGAAGACGUAUGAAGUGCAUGUAUUCUAAUAAAUAUCAAGGACAUUUAUAGGCAGGCCCUAGAACAGAGCAUCGAUUUCAGAUUUUCCACUUCCUGUCAGGAAGUUUGCUGCAAAAUGAGUUCUGUUUUACUCACAUAUAUAAUUCAAACGGUUUUAGAAACUAGAGAGUGUUUUCUAUCCAAUAGUAAUAAUAAUAUGCAUAUUGUACGAGCAAGAAUUGAGUACGAGGCAGUUUAAUUUUGGAACGAAAUUUUACAAAGUGAAAACAGCACCCCCUAUUGAGAAAAGGAGUUACUAUCUCCCGAACUAAACUCUUGGAAGAUAUACACUACCGUUCAAAAGUUUGGAAAUGUCCUUGUUUUUGAAAGAAAAGCACGUUGUUUGUCCAUUACAAUAACAUCAAAUUGAUCAGAAAUACAGUGUAGACAUUGUUAAUGUUGUAAAUGACUGGAAACGGCUGCUUUUUUAUGGAAUAUCUACAUAGGCGUACAGAGGCCCAUUAUCAGCAACCAUCACUCCUGUGUUCCAAUGGCACGUUGUAUUAGCUAAUCCAAAUUUAUCAUUUUAAAAGGCUAAUAGAUCAUUAGAAAACCCUUUUGCAAUUAUGUUAGCACAGCCGAAAACUGUUGUGCUGAUUUAAAGAAGCAAUAUAACUGGCCUUUAGACUAGUUGAGUUUCUGGAGCAUGUGGGUUCGAUUACAUGCUCAAAAUGGCCAGAAAUAAAUAAUUUCUUCUGAAACUUGUCAGUCUAUUGUUGUUCUGAGAAAUUAAGGCUAAUCCAUGCGAGAAAUUGCCAAGCAACUAAAGAUCUCAUGAGAAACAGACGCCUCACAAGUCCUCAACUGGCAGCUUCAUUAAAUAUUGACUUAAUUAUUUAUUUACUAACUGACUAAAUAAUAAACCAGAAUACAAAAACAAACACACUGUCUAGGUUAUUGAUUAGAAAUGUAAUACAGUGAAACAGGUCCCUAGUGGACUAACAAUAGCAUGACUGCUUGGUUAUAAAAGGGAGGGGUCAGGAAGAGAGAAGGACAAAGUGAGGCAAACUUAUUGUACCUUUGCAACCUACACUCAAAGGAAUAGUAACACUUUGCAAAUGAACCACCGCUCAUUCGGAUAAGAAAUGCAAUAUAUAUAUUUAAGUGUAGCUGGACAUGAUCGUUGUCUCUCUGCUGAACCCAAUCAAUCCGUCUAUGGAGAGUGGCUCAAUGUAAGGCUCUGGUUGUACACCAGAGGUCACAAUGUCCUUGUUAGUUGUAGAGCUUCUUUGGUCUUGGAAUGUUCAUUAGAAUAGAUACUUCAAAUGUACCAACGAUUGUCUGAGAUGGGAUUAUUCUUUCCCACCUCAGGUCUUUAAAUUGCCCCCUAUCCUUAGCCUAGGAUAGGGGGCAGCAUUUUCACUUUUGGAUAAAUAGCUUGCCCAAUUUCAACUUCCUUCUACUCAUCCCCAGAAUAUAAGAUAUGCAUAUUAUUAGCGGAUUUGGAUAGAAAACACUAUGAGGUUUCUAAAACUGUUUGAAUCAUGUCUGUGAGUAUCACAGAACUUAUGUAGCAGGCAAAACCCCAAGGACUAACCAUUCAGAUUUUUUUUUUUUGAGGUCACCGUCUGUUCAAUGAGAUUUCAUUGAGAUACUAGAUUUCUAAUCAACCUGUUUGCAGUUCCUACCACUUCCACUGGAUGUCACCAGUCUUUGGAAAUAGGUUGAGGUUAUUCCUUUGUGCAAUGAAGAAGAACGGCCAUCUGGAAUUAGUGUAACGUUAUGUGUACUGUUUGAGAGUUGCGCAAGACUAGAAAAGUAUCGUUAGUUUGUUGUUCUCCUGUAUUGAAAACAGAUAGACCCGUCUUCAAUUUGAUCAAUUAUUAACGUUUACAAAUACCUUAAGUUGUAUUACAAAAGUAGUUUGAAAUGUUUUGGCAAAGUUUAGAGGUAAUUUUUUAGAUAUUUUGUAGUGAUGUUGCGCAAAUUGGAAGCAGUUUUUUUCUGGAUCAAACGCGCCAAAUAAAUGGACAUUUUGGACAUAUAUGGACGGAAUUAAUCGAACAAAAGUACCAUUUGUGAUGUUUAUGGGACCUAUCGGUGUGCCAACAAAAGAAAUUCGUCAAAGGUAAGGCAUGAUUUAUAUUUUAUUUCUGCGUUUUGUGUUGCGCCUGCAGGUUUGAAAUAUGCUACACUCUUUGUUUACUGUUGUGCUAUCAUCAGAUAAUAACAUUUUAUGCUUUCGCCGAAAAGCCUUUUUGAAAUCUAACAUGUUGGCUGGAUUCACAACGAGUGUAGCUUUAAUUUGGUAACUUAUAUGUGUGAUUUAACUUCUUAAGGCUGCAGGGGCAGUAUUGAGUAGCCAGUUAAAUCGUGCCCAUUUCAAACGGCCUCGUACUCAAUUCUUGCUCGUACAAUAUGCAUAUUAUUAUUACUAUUGGAUAGAAAACACUCUCUAGUUUCUAAAACCGUUUGAAUUUUUUCUCUGAGUGAAACAGAACUCCUUCUGCAGCACAUUUCCAGACCAGGAAGUGGAAUGUCAGAAAUCGAUGCUCUGGUCAACUUCAUGCCUAUACAUGGGCAAUGAACGUAAGAGUCUACGUACACUUCAUACACCUUCCCCUGGUUGUCAAGAGGCGGUGAGAGAAGAAAUGUUGUGUCUAUCUUGGUCUGAGGUGGAAGUAAAGCUCUUUGUAUGACGUGACCGUCCAUUUCCUGUUUCUGGAGCGCGCGAAAGAGUACAUGGAUUUGCCUUCUGUUUAGCUGUCGUUAUGGACGACUAACAUCUCCGGUUUAGAUUUUAUUUGAUACAUGUGACCAUAUCAUCGUAAAGUAUGUUUUUUCAAUAUAGUGUAAUCAGAUUAUUGAAUUUUUUUUCGGGAGUUUUGCCGAGUUCCGUUCUCUGACUUUGUUGACGUUGGAGAGAUCCCUGCCACUUGGCAAGUGCCCAUGCUAAAUCAAGAGGGAAAUUUGCCGUUCCAGAUCCAAACAACGACUGUUCUGGACAAAGGACACCUUGUCCAACAUUCUGACGGAAGAUCACCAAAAGUAAGAAACAUUUUAUGAUGCUAUUUCUAAUAUCUGUCGUGCAUGUGAACUGGUCGUUGGCGCCCAAGUGUUUCUGGCUAUUGUGGCUACGCUAAUAUAACGCUAUAUUGUGUUUUCGCUGUAAAACACUUGAUAAAUCGGAAAUAUUGUCUGGAAUCACAAGAUGCCGGUCUUUCAAUUGCUGUACACUAUGUAUUUUUCAGAAAUAUUUUAUGAUGAGUAUUUAGUUAUUUGGCGUUGGUGUCUGUAAUUUUUCUGUCUGCUUUCGGUGCAAUUUCUGACUGUAGCUGCAAUGUAAACUAUGAUUUAUACCUGAAAUAUGCAAAUUUUUUGAAAAAAACAUAUGCUGUACAAUAAAUAUGUUAUCAGACUGUCAACUGAUGAAGUUGUUUCUUGGUUAGUGGCUAUUUAUAUCUUUAUUUGGCCGAAUUUGUGAUAGCUACUGAUGGAGUCAAAAACUGAUGGAGUAAUAAAAGUGGAGUCUUUUGCUAACGUGGUUAGCUAAUAGAUUUACAUAUUUUGUCUUCACUGUAAAACAUUUAAAAAAUCUGACAUGUUGGCUGGAUUCACGAGAUGUGUACCUUUCAUAUGGUGUAUUGGACUUGUUAAUGUGUGAAAGUUAAAUAUUUAAAAAAAUAUAUCUUUUGAAUUUCGCGCCCUGCACUUGAAGUGGCUGUUGUCAUAAAUGUACCGACGUCUGGCUUGCACGCCAAACAGGUUAAUGAAAGUUUGAUUUUAUAUAAUUUUUUGGAAUUUGGUGCUCUACAUUUUCGCAAGCGUCCCACAUAUCCCAGAGGGGUUAAUCAAAGUUUUAGGACCACUUUUACAUGCACAGCUGCAGACUGAAUGUUUCUGGUCUCCUAAGUGAGGUUAUAUUCCCUUGUAGUGUUGAGGUUGAGAGCUUCUAACCAUUUCAACAUGUGGACCACGGUCUCACGUCUUUUGGUCUCAAUGGUUGAUUAUUCAGGGUUCAGCUCACGACCACUUUAUACGCCAGUAGUAACCCGAAAAUGUACUGGUCUCACCAUUUUCAGCUGUGUGGCCACCACUCCACGCUUUCUGGUCUUGUAGUUUUAACCAUUCGUGACGUCUGGCUUACACUGUCCGUCUGCUUGGUCUAAUGUCAAUUUUGUUACCAAGGCUUUUAUCCUCAUGUAAAAAGGGGGCGUUCCAUCAUGACGACACAAUGUCUGUGCUCACUUGGGUGUGGAUACUGACUGAGCACAAGUUUAUAUGAAAGACAAUUAUCUCAAAUAGAGGGCUAAAAUCACAUUGCUAUCUUCAAAAAAGUAUCAUAUUUAAUCAUAUAUUUUAUAAAACAUUUAGAUGUAAAGUUGAUACAUAGAAUGCAUAUACUUUCAGAGUUAGUUACUUUGUUAUACCAUCCUUAACUUCUUAUGGGCAGGUGGGACGGUAGCGUCCCACCUGGCCAACAUCCGGUGAAAUUGCAGAGCGCAAAAUUCAAAAAUACCAAAUUCAAAUAUUUAACAUUCUUGAAAACAUAUGUGUUAUACAUCAAAAUAAAGCUUAACUUCUUAUUAAUCCAGCCGCUAUGUCAGAUUUCAAAAAGGCUUAACGGUGAAAGCAAACCAUGCGAUUAUCUGAGGACAGCUCCCCGCAUACGAACACAUUAAAAUCGUAUUUCAACCAGGCAGGUGCGCCACAAAAGUCAGAAAUAGCGACAUAAUUCAUGCCUUACCUUUGAAGAUCUUCUUCUGUUGGCACUCCAAAAUGUGCCAGAAACAUCUCAAAUGGUCCUUUUGUUCGAUAAUGUCCUUCUUUAUGUCCCAAAAAUGUCAAUUUAUUUGGCGCGUUUGAUUCAGAAAUACAUCGGUUUCAACUCGACCAACAUGCCUACAACGUAUCUUAAUAAGUUACCUGUAAACCUGGUCCAAACAUUUCAAACAACACUCCUAAUCCAACCUCAGGUACCCUAAAACGUAAAUAAUCGAUCAAAUUUAAACUGUUUCUAAUACCAGAUAAAAACAAUGUGAAGCGCGCUCCAGUUCACGUGCCUCAAAACAGUAGAGUCCACCUGGAAUGACACUUACAAUGAACAGCCCUACUGCUUAAUUUCUCAAAAGAAAAACAUCGAACAAUUUCUAAAGACUGUUGACAUCUAGUGGAAGCCAUAGGAACUGCAACCAGGUUCCCAAUAAUAAGGCUAUCCCAUAGAAACCAAUUGGAAAACCCUAUGACCUCAAUUUUUUUCCUGGAUGGUUUGUCCUCGGGGUUUCGCCUGCCAUAUCAAUUCUGUCAUACUCACAGACAUUAUUUUAACAGUUUUAGAAACUUUAGAGUGUUUUCUAUCCAAAUGUAUUAUAUGCAUAUCCUAGCUUCUGUGCCUGAGUAACAGGUAGUUUACUUUGGGCACGCUUUUCAUCCAGAGGUGAAAAUACUGCCCCCUACCCAAGAGAGAUUAAUGACAUCACAAAAUAAUAAACAAUAUGACAUGAUUAUUCUUUAGAUCCCCACCAACCAUUCUUAACAUUUGGAUGUCAGGAAUAAUGUUCCAAUGUUUACCUUUUAUUAGAAAAUUGUUUUGGAGGCAAGAGUCUCUCUCUACACACAGCACAUUCCUUUGGUGGAUACUGAAAGGCAGAGGGAAAGUUCCCUCCUGCUUAAAUUUACGACCCAGUGUUAAGAUGUCUAGACCAGCACAGCCCCCCUUCCCCUCUUCUGUGGGAGAGAGGGGGUCUGGCUAUCUUCAAACGUUUGCCCAGCUGAUGGGUCCUUUGAUCCACUGUCAGGAGAGUCAUGACACUGGUGAAGAAUUUGUUCCAGCGUAUAAUCACUGCCACCUGGUUAGGUUAGCAUUGUCUAAUGUGCGCUAUGUUAUCUGAUGGGACCAGCUACAAUUUAGCGUUAUUGCCACGUGCAAUUAAAUCUACAAUUUGAAUUGGCUGAUAUGCAUUUUAAGCCAGAUAAAUUGCUUCAAUUUAAAUGGUUGCUUAUGUUCAAGUAUGUCCCCCCAGGAUUGUAAGAUUGUCAUAUUGAUUGGUUUGUUAUUGAAUGAGUACUGUAAAACUAACUAAAACUUCCAAGUCUGUGUGUAGAUGUUGUUACAUGCUGAAGUUAUGAUAAGAUUACCGUUUUUUUUUAUCAUCAUUAAAAUCGUCAUUAGCCAUGUUUGCAUGACUGCUAUUACUUAUUUUGUUUGGGUCUGUUCUGUUUGGCUGUAAAUAUUGUGUAAAGUGAGGAUUCUGCAUAAAGAGUAAGGCUGAAUAAUGAUUCUCCUUUCCACACCUUAAGACCUGAGCAUUUUUAGUCAACGGUGUGAGAAAGCUAUACAUUGAUUUUCUUUCUUUCUUUUUGUAUUAUUGCCUUAACCCUUUGAAAUAGUUGUCAUGGUGUAUGCAUGUCACAUCACCUCAACAGCAGAAAAACUCAGGGGAGAAGUUGCACGAAUGCACAGACCUAGGAUCAGCUUACUUACCAUGAGAAGUGGAAAACACAAAACUGAACAUAGAUCAGCGUCAAGGUGCAACUUCAUCCAACUCCAGGAGGCUCUGCAGUGAUCAAAAAGUCACAACGCUAAACCACCAUGCAAACAGAACAAUCAUGUCCGCACAAUGUUUCCAUGGACUGAAUUACUCCGAGUGAAUUUAUUUAAACCCAAGAGAUGAAAAAAAGAAAGAAGAAAGUGUACAAUUGUAAAAAUGUUGUUCUUGAUUAAAUUCCUACUAGAAAAAUUAUAUAAAAAGCAAACCCCUUGUGUUCUCCUUUUUGUAUUUGUGUUUAUUAUGGAUCCCCAUUAGCUGCUGCCAAGGCAGCACAUACCCUUCCUGGGGUCCAGCCAAAUUAAGGCAGUUGUAUCAUUUUAAAAACAUUACAUUCACAACAAAUUUUAAUGUCUCACUUAAAUAUAACAUUGGAUUCAAAUUAGCUUUUUAUUGUUUCUAAUAGAGGAUGAACAGAAUAUUCUAUUCCAAACUCACCAACUAACUUGUACUUAUUUGGCCUCCUGAGUGGUGCAGCGGUCUAAGGCACUGCAUUGCAGUGCUAGAGGCAUCACUACAGACCCUGGUUUGUUCCCAGGCUGUGUCAUAACCGGCUGUGAUCGUGAGUCCCAUAGGGCGGUGCACAAUUGGCAAAGCAUAAUCUUGGUUAGGGGAGGGUUUGGCCGGUAGGGUAGGCCGUCAUUGUAAAUAAGAAAUUUGUUCUUAACUGACUUGCCUAGUUAAAUAAAAUACAUUUGACUUGAAGACUGUUUCAUGACAAGAGUUUGCUGCACAUUCCUAAGUUAAUAAUGAUUUAAGUUGUGGACUUUGCUGUGGAUGUUUUGGCAGUGCUUAGUAGUGUAAUUGGUUAAAACAAAUGUGAUUCAUAUCACAUGGAUUAUGGCCAAGAUUCAAUCCAAGGUGCAUUAUAGAGUAGUGCCAUAGAGGUACAAAUGUGGUUGCCUGUUGUUUGUAAAUGGCUGUAAAGAGGGUCUGAUUUUAUGAACAGGCUGAUUUCGCCUUGGUUUUCAUUAAGAAAUGAGACCGAAAAGAUGUGAUUUGUGUCUUGGAGACGUGCUUUGAUGUGGGUGUUUCUUGUGUGUCGUCACACGUGAGAAGCGUUUGAACAUUCGCUCUGGCAAAACAGCUGACGGGAAAAAUCUGGCGGAAGUAAGCUCGCAACCGGAGGGUUGCUGGUAUCAUAUCCUAGAUACCCUUGCCUGUCGUUGUGACCUUAAACAAGGCACUGAACGAACCCCCCCUCCACACACACAUCAACUACUCCACAGCCCCAGCUUCAACCUUUCCAACAUGUAUUAAAAUAAAAAAUAAAAUAAACUUGAUUAUAUGUGUCUUUCGGAUGGGUUGGAAUAAAGCGGAAGUAACAUUUCAGUGUGACAAUUAACAAAUACACUGAGUGUACAAAGCAUUAGGAACACCUUCCUAAUAUUGCGUUGCGCCCUCAGAGCAGCCUCAGUUCCUUGGGCCAUGGACUCUACAAGGUGUCAAAAGCGUUUUACAGGGAUGCUGGCCCAUGUUGACGCCAAUGCUUCAAACCCUGGUGUGACGUUUUGAUAACCAUGUAAAUAUGCGGCUGUAUUUACCCCCCAAAAAUGAAAUGCUAAUUAUCUGCUAAUGUGGCUAUCGUAAAGAACUACAUAUGCCAUGAUGAUUUGGACGAGACCUCAGUAUCAAGGCAAAUGUAACUAUCGAAUGUUUGCGAAAUUUAGUAAUGAAUAAAUUGGCAAUAUUUCUUUAAAUUGAAAAUGAUGUGAACUGUCUUGUGCAAGUUUUAAAUUGACUCUACCAGUUAGCAAAGAUGUCAGCUAGAGAUGAAGUGCAGGAGCUCUUGCAGGGAUUUGUAGUAUUGCAUGAUGUCUAUUUUGAUGCUAAUUGCAUUUUCAAAUCUGAGACUAAAUAGAGCCAAAAUCCCAAGAGAGAUGUACAUGGUUAUCAAAAAGUCAAGCCAGGUCAAGCCUACACGAAACACAGCCUUUAUUUUAAGUGUUUCUAAAAUUCCCUAUGGGAAAAUUGAAUGGUGGCAAAAUGAUUCUAUAGUUUCAAAGCUUAAAAUUCCUUCAUCUACAUUGAUUGAAGUGGAUUUAACAGGAGACAUCAAUAAGGGAUCAUAGUGUUUACCUGGAUUCACCUGGUCAGUCUAUGUAAUUGAAAGUUAUCUUAACCAGUUCUGCCAGGGUGAGUGAACUGGUCAGAGUGAGGUGUUCUCUCAUUUCUGUCUGGAAGUAGCUAGCAAGCUAGCCAAUUUACUGAAUAAGUAUCAGCCAGUGUGUGACUGUGGCAAAAUUAGUUCGAUGUUGGAUAUAUCAAUGGGGCUAGUAAAGGGACCGUCAAUAAAUUACGCAAUGUACAUGGGACAAUAUUUUUUUGUUGCACACCUUUCAGUUUUCUCAUUAAAUGCUUUCAAUGUUGUAUAUGAAUUUUUACAAUUUAUAGUUGGUUUGAGGUUUUAAGUAAUAGAAACAAUUGCCACAUAGGUCAUUUUUAAAAUGAAAAGCGCAUGAUUUGUCCGGUGACACUUUGCUUCUUGAAAGUCCAAUAUCUUGAAAACAUGACUGCAGACAUGCUCAAAACAUAAGAAUUAAUUUUCUUUCACAGCCAUCUAGUGGCCACAAUAUUUUGUUCAGGACUCCAACACUGCAGGUGUCACUAAUAUUAACUUUACACUUUUUUCUAACAAAAAAAUAUUUUUUUAAAUGGAGAUAGCCUCACUGGCACUGUCCAUGCUUUCACAUACACUGUAACGGCACAAAUACAAAGAUUAGUAUUCUUUCUAUCUCUAUGAAUAGCCACAAGACAGCUGACAAUGCGCCUUUGAAAUACAUUUUCACAAACUUUCGCGAAGAUCACAUUCACAGUAAACGCUGGUAUGUCGGCCCAAGCAUAAAUUACCUGCUCCAUACGGGCCCGAUUUAGACCUGAAUUAAAAGGAAUUGAAUUCCCUUUUUUGCACUUUUACAUCUACGUGUGUUCUGACCUUGAACUUAGGCACGAGGUAACGGAUGUUUCAGCCAGCUAUUCGUUUGGGGUGUAGAUUAGAGAAAUGGAGGUGUGGCAGAUGUGUCUACAGAUAUGCCGUAUUCUGACCUUGACUUAAUUCCCUUUGUUAUUCCACCACCUUUACGCGCAAUGAAUACGUUUGAGCAACCUGUCGGUUUCAAGUGGAAUAACAUCAACUACAUUUUUUUGAUAGAAAUAACACCAUUCUCCAUGCACUGUAAUUUACAAAUUGAUAAGAGCUAUUGAACAUUUUUCCUUAUGAUGCUGGAGCCAAAUGUGAAACCAGUAGACAAAUGUGAAACCAGUCAUAUGACAGCAAACUGAAGCAUAUCAACAUAACUUUUCCACAGUGAAGUUAAUGUAAUGCAGGUCUUUCAACUUGCAGGGAUGACAUUUGGAGACCCAAUCUAUAGGCUUCUGUAGCCAUGUGCAAAUGACAGUAUAGCGCCGAUCCUACCCAGUUGAUUUACGUGCUCUAGAAUAUUUUACUUGGGCUUUAUUGAUACAAAAACACACAUUUACUUAAACAGGCAAGUCAAAUAAGAACAGAUUCUUAUUUACUAUCACUAGCCUGCUCAAACUCUCUUUCUUUUCGUCUGAGAUUCCCAAAGAUUGGAAAGUUGCCGCGGUCAUCCCCGCUUCAAAGAGGGAGACACUUUAGACAUAAACUGCUACAGACCUAUAUCUAUCCUACCCUGCCUUUCUAAGGUCUUCGAAAGCCAAGUUAACGAACAGAUUACCGACCCCCAGAUCACCCCCCAAGAAAAAAAAAAAAAAAAGAUUACCGACCAUUUCGAAUACCACCGUACCUUCUCCGCUAUGCAGUCUAGUUUCCGAGCUGGUCAUGGGUGCACCUCAGCCCCUGUCAAGGUCCUAAACUAUAGCAUAACUGCCAUCGAUAAGAGACAUUACUGUGCAGCCGUAUUCAUCGACCUGGCCAAGGCUUUCGACUCUGUCAAUCACCACAUUCUUAUUGGCAUACUAAACAACCUUGGUUUCUCAAAUGACUGCCUCGCCUGGUUCACCAACUACUUCUCUGACAGAGUUCAGUGUGUCAAAUCAGAGGGCCUGUUGUCUGGACCUCUGGCAGUCUCUAUGGGGGUGCCACAGGGUUCAAUUCUCGGGCCGACUCUCUUCUCUGUAUACAUCAAUGAUGUCGCUCUUGCUGCUGGUGAUUCUCUGAUCCACCUCUACGCAGAUGACACCAUUCUGUAUACUUCUGGCCCCUCUUUGGACACUGUUUUAAGUAACCUCCAGACGAGCUUCAAUGCCAUACAACUCUCCUUCUGUGGCCUCCAACUGCUCUUAAAUGCAAGUAAAACUAAAUGCAUGCUCUUCAACUGAUCGCUGCCCACACCUGCCCGCCCUCCCAGCAUCACUACUCUGGACGGUUCUGACUUAAAAUAUGUGGGCAACUACAAAUACCUAGGUGUCUGGAUAGACUGUAAACUCUCCUUCCAGACUCACAUUAAAAGCAUCUCCAAUCCAAAAUUAAAUCUAGAAUCGGCUUCCUAUUUCGCAACAAAGCCUCCUUCACUCAUGCUGCCAAACAUACCCUCGUAAAACUGACCAUCCUACCGAUCCUCGACUUCAGCGAUGUCAUUUACAAAAUAGCCCCCAACACUCUACUCAACAAAUUGGAUGCAGUCUAUCACAGUGCCAAAGCCCCAUAUACUACCCACCGCUGCAGCCUGUACGCUCUCGUUGGCUGGUCCUCGCUUCAUACUCGUCACCAAACCCACUGGCUUCAGGUCAUCUACAAGUCUCUGAUAGGUAAGGCCCCGCCUUAUCUCAGAUCACUGGUCACCAUAGCAGCACCCACUUGUAGCACGCGCUCCAGCAGGUAUAUCUCUCUAGUCACCCCCAAAGCCAAUUCCUCCUUCGGCUGCCUUUCCUUCCAGUUCUCUGCUGCCAAUGACUGGAAUGAAUUGCAAAAAUCACUGAAGCUGGAGACUCAUAUCUCCCUCACUAGCUUUAAGCACCAGCUGUCAGAGCAGCUCACAGAUCACUGCACCUGUACAUAGCCCAUCUGUAAAUAGCCCAUCCAACUACCUCAUCCCCAUACUGUAUUUAUUUAUCUUGCUCCUUUGCACCCCUGUAUCUCUACUUGCAUAUUCAUCUUCUGCACAUCAAUCACUCUAGUGUCUAAUUGGUAUAUUGUAAUUACUUCGCCACCAUGGCCUAUUUAUUGCCUUAUACCUCCCUUUUCUUACCUCAUUUGUACACACUGUACAUAGAUUUUCUUCAACUGUAUUAUUGACUGUAUGUUUUGUUUAUUCCAUGUGUAACUGUGUUGUUGUAUGGGUCGAACUGCUUUGCUUUAUUCUUGGCCAGGUCGCAGUUGUAAAUGAGAACUUGUUCUCAACUUGCCUACCUGGCUAAAUAAAGGUGAAAUAAAUAAAAUAAAAUAAAUAAAUUAGUCAAAAUACACCCGGACUUCUCUGUUUAUUUAACAAUUGGUAAUGUGUUAAAUAUUAGCCACUAUCAGUAGCUACCGUCAGUUAUACAAACAUCUAGAACUGUCACUUUAGUGUUAGUCCUUACAAUUUGGAUAAUUUUGUUAUAGUUUGUUAUAGUUGUCCCCCACAAUAAAAUCAGAGUGGAUCUGUCUCCGUCCUUUCGUCACACGCGUUUGUUCUAUUCAUUCAGGCUCUCUCUAUCUCAUCUAUAGAAUGCAAGCCCAGUUAGACCGGAGACAUGUCUCACAUGCACCACUAAUGAUAGAAUGGAAUGUGGCUGUAAAGUUUCAUCACCCUCUAGUAAAACCCAUUUCCACGACACUCAGACUAGCUGCAGGAAGCUGGAGUGGACACAUUAAAAACUCAGCCUUAGCAGGCCAGUCUUACUCUGAGUUAAAUAUAUAAUCGUUUACUAUUAAUAUCAAACAAAUCAGGUAAGUAUGUCAUUUUUCUAGCACAUUCUCCUACAGCAUCACAUAAUUAUUGUUAACCAUACAUUGAAACAAACAAAAUACAUAUUUCUGCUGACAUUUCAUCCAUGGUACACAACCUUUCUUUGGGUUGCUGAGUUUUAGACCUUUUCUAUCUGUACAGAAAAUGAAAAUAAAAAUAAAAAUAAAAAUCACACACAAGCUUCAUUACAGCAAAUAGGACAAUCAUCACACUGGCAUCAUACACAAAGGUAGGAGUCAGCAUGAUGAAAAUGUCCACCCCAUUUAGAACGAACCCUUCCUACACCAGUGAGACACCCCUCUCUGGGCACUUUGUACACUCAGUAGGAACAUGAGCUCCACAUCUGGGUCCUUAUGCUCAGACUUGGGGUCCUCAUCAGAAAUAGGUCAGGUAAAAUCACUCAGUUUCCAAAUCAUAAUUAAAUCCAAAUUAACAUACAUUUAUAUUAGCCAUACAAUAUAUUAAUCUCAUAAUUCUACUAUUAAGUUCCUCAUCAGGGCUAUGAUUACAGAUCAGUAUCUCAAUGCAUUCUUAGACUAAAUAACUAUAUAUUUAGCCGUGUAUAUCUCCAUCAACAAGAUACCCCACGAUAACAAUUUCAGACAAGUCUAAAUUGGGGCGGCAGGGUAGCCUAGUGGUUAGAGCGUUGGACUAGUAACCGAAAGGUUGCAAGUUCAACUCCCCGAGCUGAUAAGUUACAAAUCUGUCGUUCUGCCCCUGAACAGGCAGUUAACCCACUGUUCCUAGGCCGUCAUUGAAAAUAAGAAUUUGUUCUUAACUGACUUGCCUAGUUAAAUAAAGGUAAAAAAAAAAAAAAA
Long non-coding RNA from Salvelinus fontinalis (brook trout), 19953 nucleotides. RefSeq lists it as uncharacterized. The transcript is spliced from 2 exons. Lineage: Eukaryota; Metazoa; Chordata; Actinopteri; Salmoniformes; Salmonidae. The record is from RefSeq and is a predicted model, not a curated record.